AUCCUGGCUCAGGAUGAACGCUGGCGGUAUGCCUAACACAUGCAAGUCGAACGGAGUACUUCGGUACUUAGUGGCGGACGGGUGAGUAACGCGUGAGAAUCUGCCUUCAGGAUGGGGAUAACAGUGGGAAACUACUGCUAACACCCAAUGAGCCGAGAGGUAAAAAAUUUAUUGCCUGAAGAGGAGCUCGCGUCCGAUUAGUUAGUUGGUGGGGUAAAAGCCUACCAAGACGGCGAUCGGUAGCUGGUCUGAGAGGAUGAGCAGCCACACUGGGACUGAGACACGGCCCAGACUCCUACGGGAGGCAGCAGUGGGGAAUUUUCCGCAAUGGGCGCAAGCCUGACGGAGCAAUACCGCGUGAGGGAGGAAGGCCUUUGGGUUGUAAACCUCUUUUCUUAAGGAAGAAGAUCUGACGGUACUUAAGGAAUCAGCAUCGGCUAACUCCGUGCCAGCAGCCGCGGUAAUACGGAGGAUGCAAGCGUUAUCCGGAAUUAUUGGGCGUAAAGCGUCCGCAGGCGGCAUUAUAAGUCUGCUGUCAAAGACCGCAGCUCAACUGCGGAAAGGCAGUGGAAACUGUAAAGCUAGAGUACGGUAGGGGUAGAGGGAAUUCCCAGUGUAGCGGUGAGAUGCGUAGAUAUUGGGAAGAACACCAGUGGCGAAAGCGCUCUACUGGGCCGUAACUGACGCUCAGGGACGAAAGCUAGGGGAGCGAAAGGGAUUAGAUACCCCUGUAGUC
RNAcentral lists this ribosomal RNA (736 nucleotides) under uncultured cyanobacterium. Its description in RNAcentral is "bacterial SSU rRNA". It matches the Rfam family "Bacterial small subunit ribosomal RNA", at positions 16 to 795 of the family's 1533-position model. The record is from RNAcentral. Lineage: Bacteria; Bacillati; Cyanobacteriota.